UACGUAGGGGGCUAGCGUUGUCCGGAAUCAUUGGGCGUAAAGCGCACGUAGGCGGCCUCACAAGUCGGAUGUGAAAUCCCGUGGCUCAACCAUGGACGUGCAUUCGAAACUGCGAGGCUUGAGUAUGGAAGAGGGUCGCGGAAUUCCCGGUGUAGAGGUGAAAUUCGUAGAUAUCGGGAGGAACACCAGUGGCGAAGGCGGCGACCUGGGCCAAUACUGACGCUGAGGUGCGAAAGCGUGGGGAGCAAACAGG
Molecule: ribosomal RNA, 253 nt
Filed under: uncultured bacterium
Lineage: Bacteria
Description: partial 16S ribosomal RNA
Rfam family: Bacterial small subunit ribosomal RNA
Source: RNAcentral